UGCAGUCGAACGAGAAGCGGGCUUCGGUCCGUGAGUAAAGUGGCAGACGGGUGAGUAACACGUGGGUAACCUGCCCGGAGGUGGGGGAUAACCCUUCGAAAGGAGGGCUAAUACCGCAUGACACCUCGAGCUCUUCGGGGCUCGAGUUCAAAGCUAGCCUCUGUUUCAUGCUAGCGCCGCCGGAGGGGCCCGCGCCCCAUUAGCUUGUUGGUGAGGUAAAGGCUCACCAAGGCUGCGAUGGGUAGCCGGCCUGAGGGGGUGAUCGGCCACACUGGAACUGAGACACGGUCCAGACUCCUACGGGAGGCAGCAGUGAGGAAUUUUGCGCAAUAGGCGAAAGCCUGACGCAGCGACGCCGCGUGGAGGACGAAGGCCUUCGGGUCGUAAACUCCUGUCAAGCGGGA
RNAcentral lists this ribosomal RNA (404 nucleotides) under uncultured bacterium. RNAcentral's name for it is "bacterial SSU rRNA". It matches the Rfam family "Bacterial small subunit ribosomal RNA", at positions 56 to 445 of the family's 1533-position model. The record is from RNAcentral.